Molecule: long non-coding RNA, 446 nt
Filed under: Brachypodium distachyon (stiff brome)
Lineage: Eukaryota; Viridiplantae; Streptophyta; Magnoliopsida; Poales; Poaceae
Description: long non-coding RNA (BDIS_LNC002296)
Source: RNAcentral
UCCCCCUUUGACAAUGAAUUUCAUCAAAACCACAAAUAAAAAGAGUUCCUCCGUUUUUAAAAAUGUUUCUUUAAACUAGAAGGGAUUUUUUUUUUUGCUUAGUUUGUCAUAUUUCAUUUUUUUUAAUGAGCAUUAUGAAACAUCAUGAACAUGAUAAUUGUGCAUCCAAGUCAUGUAAAAAGUAGUUGUACUCGAGAUGUAUAUAAGUAUGAUGUAAUAUACACAUGACUAAAAAUCAAGUGUUGUUACGAUUUAUUGCAAGACAUGGUCUCCCCCUAUCAACUACAUCAAUACUUGAAUACAAAAUAACUUGCAACACAUUACAUUAAAUAGAGCACUUUAUAAAAGCAUAAUAUUUAUUUUCAUUGAAUUUAUAUGCCAAGUCAAUUCAACCUUGUCAAGCCUAUAUUUAAAACACCAUGCCAAGUCUAUGUCCAAAGUGCAAU